UACGUAGGGUGCGAGCGUUGUCCGGAAUUAUUGGGCGUAAAGGGCUCGUAGGCGGUUUGUCACGUCAGGAGUGAAAACUCGGGGCUCAACCCCGAGCCUGCUUCUGAUACGGGCAGACUAGAGGUAUGCAGGGGAGAACGGAAUUCCUGGUGUAGCGGUGAAAUGCGCAGAUAUCAGGAGGAACACCGGUGGCGAAGGCGGCGACCUGGGUCGACACUGACGCUGAGGCGCGAAAGCGUGGGGAGCAAACAGG
This 253-nucleotide ribosomal RNA is filed under the name uncultured bacterium. RNAcentral's name for it is "partial 16S ribosomal RNA". It matches the Rfam family "Bacterial small subunit ribosomal RNA", at positions 524 to 776 of the family's 1533-position model. The record is from RNAcentral.